GACGAACGCUGGCGGCGUGCCUAACACAUGCAAGUCGAGCGAGGAGAGUUCCUUCGGGAACAAACCUAGCGGCGGACGGGUGAGUAACACGUGGGCAACCUGCCUUGUAGAGGGGAAUAGCCUUCCGAAAGGAAGAUUAAUACCGCAUAACAUUACAGUUUCGCAUGAAACAGUAAUUAAAGGAGUAAUCCGCUACAAGAUGGGCCCGCGGCGCAUUAGCUAGUUGGUGAGGUAAUGGCUCACCAAGGCGACGAUGCGUAGCCGACCUGAGAGGGUGAUCGGCCACAUUGGGACUGAGACACGGCCCAGACUCCUACGGGAGGCAGCAGUGGGGGAAUAUUGCACAAUGGGGGAAACCCUGAUGCAGCAACGCCGCGUGAGUGAUGAAGGUUUUCGGAUCGUAAAGCUCUGUCUUCGGGGACGAUAAUGACGGUACCCGAGGAGGAAGCCACGGCUAACUACGUG
RNAcentral lists this ribosomal RNA (465 nucleotides) under uncultured bacterium. Its description in RNAcentral is "bacterial SSU rRNA". It matches the Rfam family "Bacterial small subunit ribosomal RNA", at positions 28 to 507 of the family's 1533-position model. The record is from RNAcentral.